Podarcis lilfordi (Lilford's wall lizard) is the source of this 75-nucleotide non-coding RNA. The record is from the annotation of a GenBank genome assembly. Lineage: Eukaryota; Metazoa; Chordata; Lepidosauria; Squamata; Lacertidae.
GAUAGCUCAGUUGGUUAGAGCAUGGUGCUGAUGAUGCCAAGGUUGCGGUUUCGAUCCUCGUUUGGGAGAGCUGCA